AUAGCAUGCUUCCUAGAGUUUCAGGAUCUUCCCUUAUUUUAGUUCACACUAACAUUUUGUUUUCUGGUUGAUUUGGUUAGGUUUUGAGCCUGUGGUGAUAGAAAAUGUUUUGGAAGGUGACGAGCUGCGUACAGACCUGAAAGCAGUGGAGGCUAAAGUCCAGGAACUUGGGCCUGAUUGCAUUCUGUGUAUUCAUUCUACUACAUCCUGUUUUGCUCCAAGGGUGCCUGAUAGGAAGAGCUUCAGCUUCACCUUCUUUAGAUGUCCUUAUUACUUUAUUGUCACUUGGAUCAAAUGGCUAUAAGAAGCUACUAAAAGAAAGAAAGGAAAUGUUUUCAUAUUUGUCCAACCAAAUAAAGAAGUUGUCAGAAGCCUACAAUGAAAGACUGUUGCAUACACCUCACAAUCCCAUAUCUUUAG
Molecule: small RNA, 420 nt
Filed under: Pan troglodytes (chimpanzee)
Lineage: Eukaryota; Metazoa; Chordata; Mammalia; Primates; Hominidae
Description: retained intron
Source: RNAcentral